This 3248-nucleotide long non-coding RNA is filed under the name Citrus x clementina. Its description in RNAcentral is "Citrus clementina (C. clementina) long non-coding RNA (CCLE_LNC006375)". The record is from RNAcentral. Lineage: Eukaryota; Viridiplantae; Streptophyta; Magnoliopsida; Sapindales; Rutaceae.
GCUGUGCCCGCGGCCUAUUUUUGGCACACGGACGCGCCUCGCAAAGUCUCGCGCCAUUCCGAGUCCGGCGGACGAAGUUGGCCAGCCCCACCCCCCAAGGCUAUAGCCCACCCGUUUUUGUGGCCUUUUUCCGCUGGACGAACUUGGUGCCCCGGCCUUCGGGCGGUUAUUUUUGGGCGCGGCUGUGCCCGCGGCUUAUUUUUGGCACACGGACAUGCCUCGCAAAGUCUCGAUCCAUUCCGAGUCCGGCGGACGAAGUUGACCAGCCCCACGCCCCAAGUCUAUAGCCCACCCGUUUUUGUGUCCUCUUUCCGCUGGACGAACUUGGUGCCCCGGCCUUCGGGCGGUUAUUUUUGGCCACGGCUGUGCCCGCGUCCUAUUUUUGGCACACGGAGGCGCCUCGCAAAGUCUCGCGCCAUUCCGAGUCCGGCGGACGAAGUGGGCCAGCCCCACCCCCCAAGGCUAUAGCCCACCCGUUUUUGUGGCGUUUUUCCGCUCGACGAACUUGGCGCCCCGGCCUUAGGGCAGUUAUUUUUGGGCGCGGCUGUGCCCGCGGCCUAUUUUUGGCACACGGACGCGCCUCGUAAAGUCUCGCGCCAUUCCGAGUCCGGCGGACGAAGUUGGCCAGCCCCACCCCCCCAGGCUAUAGCCCACCCGUAUUUGUGGCCUUUUUCCGCUGGACGAACUUGGCGCCCCGGCCUUCGGGCGGUUAUUUUUGUGCGCGGCUCUGUCCGCAGCCUAUUUUUGGCCCACGGAGGCACCUCGCAAAGUCUCGCGCCAUUCCGAGUCCGGCGGACGAAGUGGGCCAGCCCCACCCCCCAAGGCUAUAGCCCACCCGUUUUUGUGGCGUUUUUCCGCUCGACGAACUUGGCGCCCCGGCCUUCGGGCGGUUGUUUUUGGGCGCGGCUGUGCCCGCGGCCUAUUUUUGGCACACGGACGCGCCUCACAAAGUCUCGCAUCAUUCCGAGUCCGGCGGACGAAGUUGGCCAGCCCCACCCCCCCAGGCUAUAGCCCACCCGUAUUUGUGGCCUUUUUCCGCUGGACGAACUUGGCGCCCCGGCCUUCGGGCAGUUAUUUUUGUGCGCGGCUCUGUCCGCGGCCUAUUUUUGGCCCACGGAGGCACCUCGCAAAGUCUCACACCAUUCCGAGUCCGGCGGACGAAGUGGGCCAGCCCCACCCCCCAAGGCUAUAGCCCACCCGUUUUUGUGGCCUUUUUCCGCUCGACGAACUUGGCGCCCCGGCCUUCGGGCGGUUAUUUUUGGGUGCGGCUGUGCCCGUGGCCUAUUUUUGGCACGUGGAGGCGCCUCGAAAGUCUCGCACCAUUUCGAGUCCGGCGGACGAAGUUGGCUAGCCCCACCCCCCAAGGCUAUAGCCCACCCGUUUUUGUGGCCUUUUUCCGCUGGCCGAACUUGGCGCCCCGACCUUCGGGCGGUUAUUUUUAUGCGCGGCUGUGCCCACGGCUUAUUUUUGGCACACGGAGGCGCCUUGCAAUGUCUCGCGCCAGUCCGAGUCCGGCGGACGAAGUUGGCCAGCCCCACCCCCCAAGGCUAUAGCCCACCCGUUUUUGUGGCCUUUUUCCGCUCGACGAACUUGGCGCCCCGGCCUUCGGGUGGUUAUUUUUGGGCGUGGCUGUGCCCGUGGCCUAUUUUUGGCACACGGAGGCACCUCACAAAGUCUCGCGCAAUUCCGAGUCCGGCGGACGAAGUUGGCCAGCCCCACCCCCCCAGGCUAUAGCCCACCCGUAUUUGUGGCCUUUUUCCGCUGGACGAACUUGGCGCCCCGGCCUUCGGGCGGUUAUUUUUGUGCGCGGCUCUGUCCGCAGCCUAUUUUUGGCCCACGGAGGCACCUCGCAAAGUCUCGCGCCAUUCCGAGUCCGGCGGACGAAGUGGGCCAGCCCCACCCCCCAAGGCUAUAGCCCACCCGUUUUUGUGGCGUUUUUCCGCUCGACGAACUUGGCGCCCCGGCCUUCGGGCGGUUGUUUUUGGGCGCGGCUGUGCCCGCGGCCUAUUUUUGGCACACGGACGCGCCUCACAAAGUCUCGCAUCAUUCCGAGUCCGGCGGACGAAGUUGGCCAGCCCCACCCCCCCAGGCUAUAGCCCACCCGUAUUUGUGGCCUUUUUCCGCUGGACGAACUUGGCGCCCCGGCCUUCGGGCAGUUAUUUUUGUGCGCGGCUCUGUCCGCGGCCUAUUUUUGGCCCACGGAGGCACCUCGCAAAGUCUCACGCCAUUCCGAGUCCGGCGGACGAAGUGGGCCAGCCCCACCCCCCAAGGCUAUAGCCCACCCGUUUUUGUGGCCUUUUUCCGCUCGACGAACUUGGCGCCCCGGCCUUCGGGCGGUUAUUUUUGGGUGCGGCUGUGCCCGCGGCCUAUUUUUGGCACACGGAGGCGCCUCGAAAGUCUCGCACCAUUUCGAGUCCGGCGGACGAAGUUGGCCAGCCCCACCUCCCAAGGCUAUAGCCCACCCGUUUUUGUGGCCUCUUUCCGCUGGUCGAACUUGGCGCCCCGACCUUCGGGCGGUUAUUUUUGUGCGCGGCUGUGCCCGUGGCCUAUUUUUUGCACGCGGAGGAGCAUCCCAAAGUCUCGCGCCAUUCCGAGUCCGGCGGACGAAGUUGGAAGGUCCCACCCCCCAAGGUUAUAGGCCACCCGUUUUUGUGGCCUUUUUCCGCUGGACGAACUUGGCGCCCCGGCCUUCGGGCGGUUAUUUUUGGAUGUGGGUGUGCCCGAGGCCUAUUUUUGGCUUACGGAGGCGCAUCGCAAAGUCUCGCGCCAUUCCGAGUCCGGCAGACGAAGUUGGCCAGCCCCACCCCCCAAGGCUAUAGCCCACCCGUUUUUGUGGCCUUUUUCCGCUGGACGAACUUGGCGCCCCGGCCUUUGGGCGGUUAUUUUUGGGCGCGGCUGUGCCCGCGACCUAUUUUUGGCACACGGAGGUGCCUCGUAAAGUCUCGCACCAUUGCGAGUCCGGCAGACGAAGUUGGCCAUCCCCACCCCCCAAGGCUAUAGCCCACCCGUAUUUGUGGCCUUUUUCCGCAGGACAAACGUGGCGCCCCGGCCUUCGGGCGGUUAUUUUUGGGCGCGGCUGUGUCCGCGGCCUAUUUUUGGCACACGGAGGCGCAUCGCAAACUCUCGCGCCAUUCCCAGUCCGGCGGACGAAGUUGGCCAGCCCCUCCCCCCAAGGCUAUAGCCCACCCGUUUUUGUGGCCUUUUCCCGCUGGACGAACUUGGCGCCCCGCCCUUCGGGCGGUUAUUUU